CCUACGGGUGGCAGCAGUGGGGAAUAUUGCACAAUGGGCGCAAGCCUGAUGCAGCCAUGCCGCGAGUAUGAAGAAGGCCUUCGGGUUGUAAAGUACUUUCAGCGAGGAGGAAGGCAUUAAGGUUAAUAACCUUGGUGAUUGACGCUACUCGCAGAAGAAGCACCGGCUAACUCCGUGCCAGCAGCCGCGGUAAUACGGAGGGUGCAAGCGUUAAUCGGAAUUACUGGGCGUAAAGCGCACGCAGGCGGUCUGUCAAGUCGGACGUGAAAUCCCCGGGCUCAACCUGGGAACUGCAUUCGAAACUGGCAGGCUAGAGUCUUGUAGAGGGGGGUAGAAUUCCAGGUGUAGCGGUAAAAUGCGUAGAGAUCUGGAGGAAUACCGGUGGCGAAGGCGGCCCCCUGGACAAAGACUGACGCUCAGGUGCGAAAGCGUGGGGAGCAAACAGGAUUAGAUACCCGUGUAGUC
Molecule: ribosomal RNA, 465 nt
Filed under: uncultured bacterium
Lineage: Bacteria
Description: bacterial SSU rRNA
Rfam family: Bacterial small subunit ribosomal RNA
Source: RNAcentral